This is a small nucleolar RNA of Homo sapiens (human), 147 nucleotides long. Lineage: Eukaryota; Metazoa; Chordata; Mammalia; Primates; Hominidae. The record is from RefSeq and is marked validated.
UCACUGCCCUGCUCACCCUUCCUGAGUCCGGCGGCAAGGGUAACUCUGGGAGCAUCGUAGAGGGCAGAGAAGAAGAAACCCUGAGGUCCCAUUAUGUCAGCCCCUUCUAUCACACGGGAGGAGACUGAGGACAGAAAGGGAACAGAG